RNAcentral lists this ribosomal RNA (373 nucleotides) under uncultured bacterium. RNAcentral's name for it is "bacterial SSU rRNA". It matches the Rfam family "Bacterial small subunit ribosomal RNA", at positions 527 to 898 of the family's 1533-position model. The record is from RNAcentral.
GUAGGGGGCUAGCGUUGUCCGGAAUCAUUGGGCGUAAAGCGCGUGUAGGCGGCCCGGUAAGUCCGCUGUGAAAGUCGGGGGCUCAACCCUCGGAUGCCGGUGGAUACUGUCGGGCUCGAGUACGGAAGAGGCGAGUGGAAUUCCUGGUGUAGCGGUGAAAUGCGCAGAUAUCAGGAGGAACACCGAUUGCGAAGGCAGCUCGCUGGGACGUUACUGACGCUGAGACGCGAAAGCGUGGGGAGCAAACAGGAUUAGAUACCCUGGUAGUCCACGCUGUAAACGAUGGGCACUAGGUGUGGGGGGUGUCGACUCCCUCCGUGCCGAAGCUAACGCAUUAAGUGCCCCGCCUGGGGAGUACGGCCGCAAGGCUAAA